Molecule: non-coding RNA, 45 nt
Filed under: Schistosoma mattheei
Lineage: Eukaryota; Metazoa; Platyhelminthes; Trematoda; Strigeidida; Schistosomatidae
Source: RNAcentral
AUCGAGUUGACGCGUCCCAAAUAGGACGAAACUCGCGUCCUGGAU